UCUGUCUCUCGUUUGGUGUCCUCCUGUCCUCAUCUUAAUGUGCUCAUCGGUGGUGUUCAAGUGCCAUGUUUAGUGGAUACCGGUUCCAUGGUGUCCACGAUCACCGAGAGUUGCUUUCACCAGUAUUUUGAACCAUGGGGGCAGGAGCGUCUUAGGUCGUGUCAAUGGUUGCAACUUACCGCUGCGAAUGGUCUUGCGAUUCCUUAUAUCGGGUAUAUGGAGCUCGAUGUCGAACUUUGUGGUAAAGUAGUACCGGAGUGUGGAGUGCUGGUUGUCCGAGAUCCUCCUGGUGGCGCCGGAACUUUUUGGACAACAUGGUACAUCCCUUUUUGACUUACCGGUGGUGUCACAGGCCCCUAGCUCCGUCACAAAGGCAUUACAACAUUGUAGUAAGGUUAGUGUCCAGACCUCUGUUGAUCGUGUUGGGGGGGUUAGGGUGCGGGGGCGGGGCGUGUGUCACAUUCCAGGUGGUACCAUGAAGCUGGUAGCGGCAACCUGCUCAGAACAUUAUGCUUCCGGUCCCGUGCUGUUUGAGCCUCCAGAUUCAGGCUUACCUGCUGGUUUGUUGGCCUCCCCGCACUGGUUCAAGUGACCCGGGGCACGGUGUAUAUCCCGGUUGUGAAUGUGGGUACCACUGAGGUGAUUCUUUACCCCAGGACGUCUUUGGGCACAUUGAGUGGUGUCUUUGUCAUUAGUUUGCCAGAAGGUAUUACUGAAGUAAGGUCCUUAACUGCUACUGUAGGCUCCCAUAGUUCCUUGGUCCCCUCUACUGUGGAGGACCAGAUUGAUGCCAUAGAUUUGUCAGUUUUGGCUGGGGAAGAGCAAAGCCGGGUCCGGGCUUUGCUUCACAAGUACAAAUUUGUGUUUUCAGCCCAUGAGGGUGAUCUGGGGUGCACUAACCUCUUGUCCCAUGAUAUUCCGCUUCUGGACGAUACCCCUGUCAGGCAACGGUACAGGCGUAUACCACCUUCGGAAUAUGAGGUAGUAAAGUCCCACAUUAAUCAACUUCUUGAGGCACAGGUUAUCAGGGAAAGCUGCAGCCCCUAUGCGUCUCCCAUUGUUUUAGUUAAGAAAAAAGACGGUAGUCUACGAAUGUGCGUAGACUAUCGUCAACUUAAUUCUAAAA
Long non-coding RNA from Cyprinus carpio carpio, 1126 nucleotides. NCBI's taxonomy places the organism in Eukaryota, Metazoa, Chordata, Actinopteri, Cypriniformes, Cyprinidae. The record is from Ensembl.